ACAAGCGAGCGGCGGACGGGUGAGUAACACGUGGGUAACCUACCCAAGAGACUGGGAUAACACCUGGAAACAGAUGCUAAUACCGGAUAACAACACUAGACGCAUGUCUAGAGUUUGAAAGAUGGUUCUGCUAUCACUCUUGGAUGGACCUGCGGUGCAUUAGCUAGUUGGUAAGGUAACGGCUUACCAAGGCAAUGAUGCAUAGCCGAGUUGAGAGACUGAUCGGCCACAUUGGGACUGAGACACGGCCCAAACUCCUACGGGAGGCAGCAGUAGGGAAUCUUCUACAAUGGACGAAAGUCUGAUGGAGCAACGCCGCGUGAGUGAAGAAGGGUUUCGGCUCGUAAAGCUCUGUUGGUAGUGAAGAAAGAUAGAGGUAGUAACUGGCCUUUAUUUGACGGUAAUUACUUAGAAAGUCACGGCUAACUACGUGCCAGCAGCCGCGGUAAUACGUAGGUGGCAAGCGUUGUCCGGAUUUAUUGGGCGUAAAGCGAGUGCAGGCGGUUCAAUAAGUCUGAUGUGAAAGCCUUCGGCUCAACCGGAGAAUUGCAUCAGAAACUGUUGAACUUGAGUGCAGAAGAGGAGAGUGGAACUCCAUGUGUAGCGGUGGAAUGCGUAGAUAUAUGGAAGAACACCAGUGGCGAAGGCGGCUCUCUGGUCUGCAACUGACG
RNAcentral lists this ribosomal RNA (671 nucleotides) under uncultured bacterium. RNAcentral's name for it is "bacterial SSU rRNA". It matches the Rfam family "Bacterial small subunit ribosomal RNA", at positions 87 to 745 of the family's 1533-position model. The record is from RNAcentral.